RNAcentral lists this ribosomal RNA (548 nucleotides) under Colletotrichum gloeosporioides. RNAcentral describes it as "eukaryotic LSU rRNA". The stretch from base 179 to 332 matches the Rfam family "5.8S ribosomal RNA". Lineage: Eukaryota; Fungi; Ascomycota; Sordariomycetes; Glomerellales; Glomerellaceae. The record is from RNAcentral.
UCAUUACUGAGUUUACGCUCUACAACCCUUUGUGAACAUACCUACAACUGUUGCUUCGGCGGGUAGGGUCUCCGCGACCCUCCCGGCCUCCCGCCUCCGGGCGGGUCGGCGCCCGCCGGAGGAUAACCAAACUCUGAUUUAACGACGUUUCUUCUGAGUGGUACAAGCAAAUAAUCAAAACUUUUAACAACGGAUCUCUUGGUUCUGGCAUCGAUGAAGAACGCAGCGAAAUGCGAUAAGUAAUGUGAAUUGCAGAAUUCAGUGAAUCAUCGAAUCUUUGAACGCACAUUGCGCCCGCCAGCAUUCUGGCGGGCAUGCCUGUUCGAGCGUCAUUUCAACCCUCAAGCUCUGCUUGGUGUUGGGGCCCUACAGCCGAUGUAGGCCCUCAAAGGUAGUGGCGGACCCUCCCGGAGCCUCCUUUGCGUAGUAACUUUACGUCUCGCACUGGGAUCCGGAGGGACUCUUGCCGUAAAACCCCCCAAUUUUCCAAAGGUUGACCUCGGAUCAGGUAGGAAUACCCGCUGAANNUAAGCAUAUCAAUAAGCGGA